CUUCUGUUCUCUUGCACUGGCUAGUGCCUUUUAUUUUAUUGUAACUGCCUUCAGCAUCUGUUCAAGUCAUCAAAAUUGGUUUAUUUGUUGCUCUAUUGUUUGUUUUUCCUUCUGAUUCUUCCUUCAAAUCAGGCACUGGAUUCCUUUUUUCUGUUGAAGGCAUGAAUUUAUAAACUGUAUGAGUAGGGCACUGAUCUGCAAACAUGUAAGUCAUG
This 215-nucleotide unclassified non-coding RNA is filed under the name Hevea brasiliensis (rubber tree). Lineage: Eukaryota; Viridiplantae; Streptophyta; Magnoliopsida; Malpighiales; Euphorbiaceae. The record is from RNAcentral.